Molecule: ribosomal RNA, 508 nt
Filed under: iron-reducing bacterium enrichment culture clone FeC_1_H1
Lineage: Bacteria
Description: bacterial SSU rRNA
Rfam family: Bacterial small subunit ribosomal RNA
Source: RNAcentral
GAGUUUGAUCCUGGCUCAGGACGAACGCUGGCGGCGUGCCUAACACAUGCAAGUCGAGCGGAGACAAUAGCAAUAUUGUCUUAGCGGCGGACGGGUGAGUAACGCGUGGGCAACCUGCCUAUUACAGGGGGAUAACACAGGGAAACUUGUGCUAAUACCGCAUAAAGCAGCGAGAAAGCAUUUUCUUGUUGCCAAAGGAGCAAUCCGGUGAUAGAUGGGCCCGCGUCCAAUUAGCUAGUUGGUGAUGUAACGGACCACCAAGGCGACGAUUGGUAGCCGAACUGAGAGGUUGAUCGGCCACAUUGGGACUGAGACACGGCCCAGACUCCUACGGGAGGCAGCAGUGGGGAAUAUUGCACAAUGGGGGAAACCCUGAUGCAGCAACGCCGCGUGAAGGAUGAAGGUUUUCGGAUUGUAAACUUCUUUAGUCAGGGACGAAUAAAUGACGGUACCUGAAGAAUAAGCCACGGCUAACUACGUGCCAGCAGCCGCGGUAAUACGUAGGUGG